UACGUUUCGUCGUCGUACCCUUCACCCGUUCGUCGUCCCGCAAACCGUGCCUCCCGAAAAAAACGAUUCGUCCAUACCCUUCGCCCGUUCGUCGCUCGGUCGCCGUCCCUCUCCCUGUCUCCCAUCUGCACGCCGCCCCUCUCGCCGCCACACCUGACCCAACCGCCAACUUUCCCACACCGCCGCUCGAGCCCUAGGACACCUCCACACCGUCUACCAUGAAUGGCUGGCUUGUUCCCGCCCGGCGACCUGCCUGAGGACCAGAUCGAUGGCUGGGGGCGCCAGAUCGAUGGGCGACGGGGCGUGAUGAAGACAAUACAAGAAGCGCGCAACAACGGUGGCCGGAUCAAAGCACGUUGGCGGUGGAGCUGAAGGACGGGUAGCUCCGGCACCAGUAUCAGGUCCUGAUCCUGCUCCUCCUACGGUUUCCCACCGCUUCCAUGCCUGAUCCUGCCACGCACCACCUCGAUUCGCGCCGCCGCCAUGCCUUUGCAGAUCGGAUCUCGCGGUGUGGUUUCAUCCUAGGAGACGAGAGGGAGGAGGGCCAGCCCAAUUCCGGGCAUAUUGGCGUUGAUCGGACUGGAGAUCCUCCAAAUCUGGACCUGGGUUGAUUUGGUUUUUCGGUUGCAGCUAAUAGUAAUUCCAAUUCUUCCUCCAAUCGCUUGUGAGGAGAUACUACUUAUAGUCGGGCAAUCAGGAGGAUGCGCUCAUGUAAGAGCAUUUGCUAAUUCUUUUUGUUAUUUACUUGUUGACUAUUGUAGCACCCUGUGUUUUCAGAUGCUGAAUAAAUAUUGAUUUGUUUUACUGAAUAUAGCUUAAUACAAGUCUGUUUAAGAGCGAGCUGUUGUCGAGGAUUAGAGUGAGUUCUGUUUCACGCCUUAGUUGCACCUAUUGUUUUAUCAUUUGUAUUUCCACUUCCAUUAGUCUGACUCUGCAGAUUAAAAGCUUCGGUCUUUUUACGGGAAAAGGUCUUCUGGCUAAUCCUUUUCACUUUUGAGCUUAAUUUUCAGGAAAUUGAUCCCAAUGGAGAAAAUGACGAUUUUGGAUAUUUGAUGAAAUGCUGAAGCUAUAACCUCCAGUUUAUUGUUCAUUUUCUUCCCUCCGCAAAAGAAGUUCCUUAUUUAGCCCAUUUCUCAAUUUCCAAUAACUAUUGGAGUAAUGUUUUUCUCUUACUGCAGCUACUGUACAUCAUCCAAUGUUCUCGAAUACAUGGUCUCUGUGCCUUCUGGUGGAGCGCUAAUAUGAGCAUGGCUUGGUGCUUGGGCUAUUCCUCUUGUCUGGGAGAGACCAGGUCAGAUCACAGUUGGUUCUGAUUAUUUUUUUCAAUCAGAUCACAGUUUGUUCUGCUCAAAUGCAGCUAGAUCAUUUAGAAGAAACCUUAAACCUCUGAGCACCUGCCAACUCUGUGGGAUUGCAGUCGAAGACGCUCGCCAUGCCACGGUGAACUGCACCAAAGGUGCCAGCGUGCGUCAGGCUAUGCGUGAUCACUGGCCAAUUCUUAUUGAAGAGGCUAGACUGGCUCCUCGUGUUACUGAGCAGCACUGAUGUCUGCAUCAGGGGCUAAAAUCCUGCUGAUCCUUUAGCGCGCAUGGCACCUGAGAAAGGAUGUCAUGCAAAAUUCAGGUAAGGAAAGAAUUGCAAAGUCCGUAACUUUCUUACGGACCUAUGUCAAUGGGCAAGAGCUUAGGACUAUGCCCGAAGACGAUGUCAAAUGAAAAUGGCCACUCCUGAUGACGCCUGCAAAGGAGACCGUCGACCUCAGGGCUCCUCAGAUUAAUUCGUGGAAGCCACCGCCACCAGGGUGCUCAAGACCAACACGGAUGCCUCGUUCUUGGGGAACAACAUACCAAGUGGUGUGUAUGCCGUUGGCAGGGAUCAUGAGGAUCAGCUUGCUCUCCGAUGCUGAAGCUAAAGCUGCCCUAAUAGGCAUCAGGAUGCUGUCCGGACAUGGGCAUGUGAAGAUCGUCAUCGAGUUGGACUGCACAAAUGCUGCUAAAGUGUUGCUGCGUUCAUCGACGGCUGACAGAUCUAAGCAGUGGGCACCAUAUGACGAAGCAAGACGCUGCUGAUGAAUUUCGAUGACCACAGUGUUGGCCAUGUUCGACAAAAGAGCAACUACGUUGUUGAUUCCGUAUCUAAAAUGGCUAGAUCGGCCGGUAGCUGCAUUUGGACUGAUCACUUCCCAUGUGUUGUUUGGGAUUUUGUAACACGUGACAUCAACUCGAGUGUUACCAUGAUAAUAUAAGGGCUCUCUCUACUCAAAAAAGAAAACAUGCAAAUGAUGCCGAAGACAACGUCCCUAAUAUUUUCAAA
Long non-coding RNA from Lolium perenne, 2313 nucleotides. RefSeq lists it as uncharacterized. Lineage: Eukaryota; Viridiplantae; Streptophyta; Magnoliopsida; Poales; Poaceae. The record is from RefSeq and is a predicted model, not a curated record.